Molecule: ribosomal RNA, 773 nt
Filed under: uncultured Neocallimastigales
Lineage: Eukaryota; Fungi; Neocallimastigomycota; Neocallimastigomycetes; Neocallimastigales
Description: partial large subunit ribosomal RNA
Rfam family: Eukaryotic large subunit ribosomal RNA
Source: RNAcentral
AGAGAGAGACAUGCGCGCAUAUCAAUAAGCGGAGGAAAAGAAACUAACAAGGAUUCCCUUAGUAACGGCGAGUGAAGCGGGAAGAGCUCAAAUUUGAAAUCUUCAAGGUUCUACCUUGACGAAUUGUAGUUUAUAGAAGUGUUUUCUGUUAGUGGAGUGGCAAAAGUUCUUUGGAAUAGGACAUCAUAGAGGGUGAGAAUCCCGUAUUUGGUCAUUCCUCCUAGCGUUGUGAUACACUUUCAACGAGUCGGAUUGUUUGGGAAUGCAGUCCAAAAUGGGUGGUAAAUUUCAUCUAAAGCUAAAUAUUGGCGAGAGACCGAUAGCGAACAAGUACCGUGAGGGAAAGAUGAAAAGAACUUUGAAAGGAGAGUUAAACAGUACGUGAAAUUGUCAAAAGGGAAGCGUUUGACACCAGUGUUGUUUUUCCGAAAAUCAAUUACGAAUGUUUUGUUUUUGAGGAGUUAUGACUUCAUCGGCUUGCUCCUUUCUUUAUGAAACUUUCUUAAUGCACUUUUCGGUUAACAAGUCAACAUCAAUUUCUUUUGUUGUAAAAUGUAUGAGGAAGGUAGCUUUCUUUUCGGAGAAAGUGUUUAUAGCCUUGUGCCUCUGCAAUCGGAGAGAUUGAGGUCUGCAGCGUAGAUCCUUCGGGGUUAGAUACGUUUGUGCUAAGUUAUAGCUUUUCAUAGACAACUUGUUGACUAUGUUUAGUCUUGUAGCUUACUCGCUGACGCUAUUUUACCUACGCUUAGGAUGUUGAUAGUCACAGCGUGUAC